CGCUGGCGGCGUGCUUGAUACAUGCAAGUCAAGGAGAACAUUAUCUUCGGAUAAUAAGUAAACUGGCGAACGGGUGAGUAACGCGUAAACAACUUGCCUCAGAGAUUGGGACAACAUUGGGAAACCAGUGCUAAUACCAAAUAAUGCAGCGGGCUCUUCGGAGCACAGUUGUUAAAGUAGGCUUCGGCUUACACUUUGAGAUAGGUUUGCGUCCGAUUAGUUAGUUGGUAGGGUAAAAGCCUACCAAGACCAAGAUCGGUAGCUGGUCUGAGAGGAUGAUCAGCCACACUGGAAUUGAGAUACGGUCCAGACUCCUACGGGAGGCAGCAGUAAGGAAUUUUGCACAAUGGGCGAAAGCCUGAUGCAGCAACGCCGCGUGAACGAUGAAGUUUUUAGGAAUGUAAAGUUCUGUCGUAUGGGAAGAGAUCUUUCGAAUGUUAAUACCAUUCGUUAAUGACGGUACCAUACAAGAAAGCACCGGCUAACUUCGUGCCAGCAGCCGCGGUAAUACGAGGGGUGCUAGCGUUGUCCGGAUUUACUGGGCGUAAAGGGUACGUAGGCGU
This 563-nucleotide ribosomal RNA is filed under the name uncultured Fidelibacterota bacterium. Its description in RNAcentral is "bacterial SSU rRNA". It matches the Rfam family "Bacterial small subunit ribosomal RNA", at positions 34 to 578 of the family's 1533-position model. Lineage: Bacteria; Pseudomonadati; Fidelibacterota. The record is from RNAcentral.